Molecule: RNA transcript, 504 nt
Organism: Propithecus coquereli (Coquerel's sifaka)
Lineage: Eukaryota; Metazoa; Chordata; Mammalia; Primates; Indriidae
Gene name: DNA-directed RNA polymerase III subunit RPC10 pseudogene
Exons: 1
Source: RefSeq, a predicted model, not a curated record
CUGCGGGGCGGAGUUCGAGACCAUGCUGCUCUUCUGCCCGGGCUGCGGGAACGGGCUGAUCAUGGAGGAGGGGCAGCGCUGCCACCGCUUCGCCUGCAACACCUGCCCCUACAUGCACAACAUCACUCGCAAGGUAACAAAUCAAAAGUAUCCAAAGCUGAAAGAAGUGGAUGAUGUGCUUGGGGGAGCAGCCGCCUGGGACAAUGUUGACUCUACUGCAGAGCCAUGUCCCAAAUGCAAACAUCCUCGUGCUUACUUCAUGCAGCUUCAGACCCGCUCUGCAGACGAGCCAAUGACCACCUUCUACAAGUGCUGCAAUGCUCAGUGUGGACACUGCUGGAGGGACUAGGGCCAGGGUGGCCCAGCUGCCUGAGUGUCUGCUUACCUUGUCCCCCGGGGUGGAUUCUCAGCUGGGAUUAUGAAUUGUGUGUUUUUGCUGGUAUGGCAGAAAACUAACCCUUUCGGGGUGAAGGGCCAGGGUGUCAAGAAAAGUAGCCCAUUUGC